CUUGACUGUAUUCUGGAAUGGAAUUCGGGCUUUUCUUGCGCAGCCUAGGUGGGAGGCUUUGAAGAUUUCCUUCCGGGGAAAUUGGAGCCAUCCGUGAGAGACCACUCUGGGAAGGCUAGAAUUCUAAUGGCGAUCCUUGAAUCAGGACGCUUGACAGUUUCAGAUGGGCAGUUUUUCUGGGGCGGAAACCUCCAAAAAGGUAACGGAGGUGCGCAAUGGUUCCCUCAGUCUGGACGGAAAUCAGACAUUGAGUGUAAAGGCAAAAGGGAGCUUGACUGUGAGACCUACAAGUCAAACAGGGGCGAAAGCCGGCCUUAGUGAUCCGACGGUGCUGAGUGGAAAGGCCGUCGCUCAACGGAUAAAAGUUA
This 368-nucleotide ribosomal RNA is filed under the name uncultured organism. RNAcentral describes it as "bacterial LSU rRNA". It matches the Rfam family "Bacterial large subunit ribosomal RNA", at positions 2099 to 2465 of the family's 2925-position model. The record is from RNAcentral.